GGAAUUCGUGGUGUAGCGGUGAAAUGCUUAGAUAUCACGAAGAACUCCGAUUGCGAAGGCAGCUUGCUGGACUGUAACUGACGCUGAUGCUCGAAAGUGUGGGUAUCAAACAGGAUUAGAUACCCUGGUAGUCCACACAGUAAACGAUGAAUACUCGCUGUUUGCGAUAUACAGUAAGCGGCCAAGCGAAAGCGUUAAGUAUUCCACCUGGGGAGUACGCCGGCAACGGUGAAACUCAAAGGAAUUGACGGGGGCCCGCACAAGCGGAGGAACAUGUGGUUUAAUUCGAUGAUACGCGAGGAACCUUACCCGGGCUUGAAUUGCAACUGAAUGAUGUGGAGACAUGUCAGCCGCAAGGCAGUUGUGAAGGUGCUGCAUGGUUGUCGUCAGCUCGUGCCGUGAGGUGUCGGCUUAAGUGCCAUAACGAGCGCAACCCUUAUCGAUAGUUACCAUCAGGUUAUGCUGGGGACUCUGUCGAGACUGCCGUCGUAAGAUGUGAGGAAGGUGGGGAUGACGUCAAAUCAGCACGGCCCUUACGUCCGGGGCUACACACGUGUUACAAUGGGGGGUACAGAAGGCAGCUACACGGCGACGUGAUGCUAAUCCCUAAAGCCUCUCUCAGUUCGGAUUGGAGUCUGCAACCCGACUCCAUGAAGCUGGAUUCGCUAGUAAUCGCGCAUCAGCCACGGCGCGGUGAAUACGUUCCCGGGCCUUGUACACACCGCCCGUCAAGCCAUGAAAGCCGGGGGUACCUGAAGUGCGUAACCGCAAGGAGCGCCCUAGGGUAAAACUGGUGAUUGGGGCUAAGUCGUAACAAGGUAGCCGUACCGGAAGGUGCGGCUG
RNAcentral lists this ribosomal RNA (843 nucleotides) under gut metagenome. RNAcentral describes it as "bacterial SSU rRNA". It matches the Rfam family "Bacterial small subunit ribosomal RNA", at positions 663 to 1520 of the family's 1533-position model. The record is from RNAcentral.